UAGGGAAUCUUCCACAAUGGACGCAAGUCUGAUGGAGCAACGCCGCGUGAGUGAAGAAGGUUUUCGGACCGUAAAGCUCUGUUGUUGGUGAAGAAGGAUAGAGGUAGUAACUGGCCUUUAUUUGACGGUAAUCAACCAGAAAGUCACGGCUAACUACGUGCCAGCAGCCGCGGUAAUACGUAGGUGGCAAGCGUUGUCCGGAUUUAUUGGGCGUAAAGCGAGCGCAGGCGGAAGAAUAAGUCUGAUGUGAAAGCCCUCGGCUUAACCGAGGAAUUGCAUCGGAAACUGCUUUUCUUGAGUGCAGAAGAGGAGAGUAGAACUCCAUGUGUAGCGGUGGAAUGCGUAGAUAUAUGGAAGAAUACCAGUGGCGAAGGCGGCUCUCUGGUCUGCAACUGACGCUGAGGCUCGAAAGCAUGGGUAGUGAACAGGAUUAGAUACCCUGGUAGUCCAUGCCG
RNAcentral lists this ribosomal RNA (455 nucleotides) under uncultured bacterium. RNAcentral describes it as "partial 16S ribosomal RNA". It matches the Rfam family "Bacterial small subunit ribosomal RNA", at positions 355 to 802 of the family's 1533-position model. The record is from RNAcentral.